ACAGACAGGAGGACAGAGACAGGUCAUCAGAGACAGAGACAGGCCUUUGGGGACAGACAGAGACCGGUCAUCAGAGACAGACACAGGUCAUUAAAGACAGGUCAUCAGAGACAGGUCAUUAGCGACAGGUCAUCAGAGAUAGGUCAUCAGAGACAGACACAGGUCAUCAGAGACAGACACAGGUCAUUAGCGACAGGUCAUCAGAGACAGGUCAUCAGAGACAGAGACAGGUCAUCAGAGACAGAGACAGGUCAAUAGAGACAGGUCAUCAGAGACAGGUCAUCAGAGACAGACACAGGUCAUUAGCGACAGGUCAUCAGAGACAGAGGCAGGUCAUCAGAGAGAGAGACAGGUCAUCAGAGACAGAGACAGGUCAUUAGCGACAGGUCAUCAGAGGCCAGUCAUCAGAGACAGAGACAGGUCAUUAGCGACAGCUCAUCAGAGACAGGUCAUCAGAGACAGAGACAGGUCAUCAGAGACAGAGACAGGUCAUUAGCGACAGGUCAUCAGAGGCAGGUCAUCAGAGACAGAGACAGGUCACUAGCGACAGGUCAUCAGAGACAGAGACAGGUCAUCAGAGACAGAGACAGGUCAUUAGCGACAGGUCAUCAGAGGCAGGUCAUCAGAGACAGAGACAGGUCAUUAGAGACAGGUCAUCAGAGACAGGUCAUUAGAGACAGGUCAUCAGAGACAGGUAAUCAGAGACAGGUCAUUAGAGACAGGUCAUCAGAGACAGAGACAGGUCAAUAGAGACAGGUCAUUCGAGACAGAGACAGGUCAAUAGAGACAGGUCAACAGAGACAGAGACAGGUCAAUAGAGACAGGUCAUCAGAGACAGAGACAGGUCAUUAGCGACAGGUCAUCAGAGGCAGGUCAUCAGAGACAGGUCAUCAGAGGCAGGCCCAUCAGAAACAGAGACAGGUCAUCAGAGACAGGUCAUCAGAGACAGAGACAGGUCAUCAGAGACAGAGACAGGUUAUUAGCGACAGGUCAUCAGAGGCAGGUCAUCAGAGACAGCGACAGGUCAUCAGAGGCAGGUCAUCAGAGACAGAGACAGGUCAUCAGAGGCAGGUCAUCAGAGACAGAGACAGGUCAUCAGAGAUAGGUCAUCAGAGACAGGUAAUCAGAGACAUAGACAGGUCAUCAGAGACGGAGACAGGUCUUUGGGGGACAGACAGAGACAGGUUUUUGGGGACAGACAG
Long non-coding RNA from Epinephelus moara (kelp grouper), 1202 nucleotides. RefSeq lists it as uncharacterized. The transcript is spliced from 3 exons. Lineage: Eukaryota; Metazoa; Chordata; Actinopteri; Perciformes; Serranidae. The record is from RefSeq and is a predicted model, not a curated record.